UAGGGAAUAUUGGUUAAUCUGCGAAAGCGGGAACCAGCAACGCCGCGUGCACGAUGAAGGCCUUCGGGUUGUAAAGUGCUUUUUGAGAGGAUGAGGAAGGACAGUACUCUUAGAAUAAGCUUCGGCUAACUACGUGCCAGCAGCCGCGGUAAAACGUAGGAAGCGAGCGUUAUCCGGAUUUACUGGGCGUAAAGCGUGUGUAGGCGGUUUGAUAAGUUGGAUGUGAAAGCUCCUGGCUUAACUGGGAGAGGUCGUUCAAAACUAUCAGACUUGAGAGUGGUAGAGGGAGGUGGAAUUCCGGGUGUAGUGGUGAAAUGCGUAGAUAUCCGGAGGAACACCAGUGGCGAAAGCGGCCUCCUGGCCCAUUUCUGACGCUCAGACACGAAAGCUAAGGUAGCAAACG
Molecule: ribosomal RNA, 403 nt
Filed under: uncultured prokaryote
Description: bacterial SSU rRNA
Rfam family: Bacterial small subunit ribosomal RNA
Source: RNAcentral